AGUGCACGCUGGCGGUAGGCCUAACACAUGCCAGUCGAACGGCAGCACAGUAAGAGCUUGCUCUUACGGGUGGCGAGUGGCGGACGGGUGAGGAAUACAUCGGAAUCUACUUUUUCGUGGGGGAUAACGUAGGGAAACUUACGCUAAUACCGCAUACGACCUACGGGUGAAAGCAGGGGAUCUUCGGACCUUGCGCGAUUGAAUGAGCCGAUGUCGGAUUAGCUAGUUGGCGGGGUAAAGGCCCACCAAGGCGACGAUCCGUAGCUGGUCUGAGAGGAUGAUCAGCCACACUGGAACUGAGACACGGUCCAGACUCCUACGGGAGGCAGCAGUGGGGAAUAUUGGGCAAUGGGCGCAAGCCUGAUCCAGCCAUACCGCGUGGGUGAAGAAGGCCUUCGGGUUGUAAAGCCCUUUUGUUGGGAAAGAAAAGCAGCAGGUUAAUACCCCGCUGUUCUGACGGUACCCAAAGAAUAAGCACCGGCUAACUUCGUG
This 492-nucleotide ribosomal RNA is filed under the name uncultured bacterium. RNAcentral describes it as "partial 16S ribosomal RNA". It matches the Rfam family "Bacterial small subunit ribosomal RNA", at positions 29 to 507 of the family's 1533-position model. The record is from RNAcentral.